This 1969-nucleotide long non-coding RNA is filed under the name Bemisia tabaci. Its description in RNAcentral is "lncRNA ENSSSA1NGG006883". The record is from RNAcentral. Lineage: Eukaryota; Metazoa; Arthropoda; Insecta; Hemiptera; Aleyrodidae.
CACAGAUUCAAAUCAGUAAAUGCGAUACCUACUACAAAAUAACUUGGAUUUUUUUACAGGAAUAGUCGUAGUUGUGAGCCGUGACUCCGUGAGUAGUCAAUUUACACACGAAUUAUUGUAUUGAUAACACUGAUAACAGCAGCAGAAUAAUGUAAACAAAACAUGAUUGUUUACAUUUUCUGUAGUCUUUGGUAUGCAGAAGGAGCCAUAAUUACAUGAUGAAGGCAACCAUGUUAAGCUUGGAAAUAUUCUAAUUUAUGUUCUAGAUAAAUAUAUUGAAAGAAAAUACAAACGGGCAAACUUUUUCUAGAUUUCGAGAGGAAGUUGAAGUUGGUUAAUUAUCAAGGAUUACAGAAACAUUACCCCCUUCCCCUUCCCGCCUGCACCUGCAAGUUGCAACACGAAGCGGGCGUUGUUGACAACAAACUCGCUUAUCAUUCACCACGUGUGCCGCUUUUUCUUUUUGGUCAUGAUCUUUUUUUAUGUCAUUUUCAAAGACAUUUGGAGUGUUUGUACGUUGUGCUGAACUUAUAAGUAAUGUUCCCAGAAUUGACUUUUAUUCAUUACAUCUUCAAGCCCACUUUGAAUCGGAGAUAUCAUGAGUCGACGGAGAGAAAGGCGAGGAAAAGAACAGAGCAGCAAAGCAGACAACUUUAAAAGAGAUCUAUCUCAACUCGUCCCAAAACACAAAGUGCCACAUAGAGACUCCAAGGUCAAGGAAGGUUUAUUCCGAAAAGGAUUUCGUACAAAACAUCUCCUAAGGGCAGAAGGAUUGGCAGAUGCUAAAAAAUUUGCCAGACUAAAUGGAGAUCUUGAGGAAAUCAUCAGCCUUGUAAAUGGCGAAGCGCCAUCCAAUAGAUAUGAAGAAACUAGGUCAAGGAACAGAAGUCUUUCGAAAAGUCCUUUCUUCAAGCAUGGCAAGAGUCCUCCAGCACCAAGUUCAAAUGAUAUCUCAUGUACAUUAAAUAAUCAAGACUUUGAACUAUUGGAAAAUCACACAAGACACCCACACAAAUUUCCCAGAGGAAACUGUAAAACGAACUCAGGAAAAGAAAACAUUCCGGUUCAUGAGCUUAAUUUUAACAGUCCUCCUAACACGCAAGCUGUGAAAAAAGCUAGAACAGCUGAAUUUAUCAAUUCUCUUCCAUCAAUCUUUGAAGAGGAUAUCAAUCCAAGUCAUGAAAAUGCAGGGCAAAAAUUGUCAAACAGCGCAGAUGAUAAGCUCAGAGAAGCUCACAUGACCACGUGUUUUGGCGAAUUAGCAUCCUCCAUUGGUCACUCCCUUGUAAUUCUGAGGAAGAAACGUUACGGAAAAAUCAACUACAAUCAGGACUUGAAACAAGCCAUCAUGAAUGAUUAUGCAGAAAGUUGCAGAAGUUCUCCAUCAACAUCUACAUAUUACUCGGAAGGAAGCAUUGCAGUAAAAAAUCCUUCACCAUCAGCAAAAGUAAAUUUUGAACCAAGAAAACGUGCUCGAAACUAUGAGCCAACACCCGUCUCUCCUUCAAUAGCUGAACCGUCUCCUCUCAGAUUGAGUUCACAGACUGAAGAUUCAUUCUUGCAAACUGAAGGCCCUCAUCUCAACUUGAGCUCAAGUGCUUUUCCGAAUACAUUCAUAUUGACAGAAAAUUCUCAGCUCAACUCGCAUUCAAGUUCAUUACAACAGGAUUCACACCCUUCUUCGUCGCUAUUAUUUUUUCCCCAGUCGUACACUACCCUGCCCGGCAAUUCUCAACUGCACUGCUCCGAAACUUUGACAAAUGAGUGGGCAGCUCCUGCUCCACCAUUCAAAAAUCCAUCUGUGUGGCCACCUCAAAAUUCCUGUAGCUUUCAUGAUUAUCCCUCUGAAAUUAUUUUGAAACAGCCAGAGAGACCGACACACAAAGAAGUAAAUUACUUAUCAAGAUCUUCGCCCGAUCAAGACUCUCUUAUUCCUAAAUUCAAAUUUUAUCCUCGAAAUAUGUAUUAA